This 206-nucleotide unclassified non-coding RNA is filed under the name rhizosphere metagenome. RNAcentral describes it as "partial ribosomal RNA internal transcribed spacer region". The record is from RNAcentral.
GAGUUAGGGUCCUCUGGGCUCGAUCUCCAACCCUGUGUCUAAAUAACCACGUUGCUUUGGCGGGCCCGCCUGUAAUGGGCCGCCGGGGGUGCCUUCGGCCCCCUGGUCAGCGCCUGCCAGUAGCCAUCUCAAACUCUUCUUAAUCGUGACGUCUGAGUAAAAAUUAGAAAUUAAACAAAACUUUCAACAACGGAUCUCUUGGUUCU